This 771-nucleotide ribosomal RNA is filed under the name uncultured archaeon. Its description in RNAcentral is "bacterial SSU rRNA". It matches the Rfam family "Archaeal small subunit ribosomal RNA", at positions 1 to 750 of the family's 1478-position model. The record is from RNAcentral.
UUCCGGUUGAUCCUGCCGGACCCGACUGCUAUCGGAUUGAGAUUUAGCCAUGCGAGUCGAACGUCCCCCUGUUGCGGGGGGCGUGGCAUACGGCUCAGUAACACGUAGUCAACCUGCCCUGGAGACAUGGACAACCCCGGGAAACUGGGAUUAAUCCGUGAUAGGUCAUCUCAUCUGGAAGGAGAGAUGGCUUAAAGGGGUACGCGGGCUUCUUCCGCGAAUCUGCUCCAGGAUGGGACUGCGUCCGAUCAGGCUGUUGGCGGGGUAAUGGCCCACCAAACCUGUAACCGGUACGGGCCUUGAGAGAGGUGGCCCGGAAAUGGACACUGAGAGAAGGGUCCAGGUCCUACGGGGCGCAGCAGGCGCGAAACCUUCGCAAUGCGCGAAAGCGUGACGAGGUUAAUCCGAGUGGCCCCCGCUGAGGGGGUCUUUUGUCGGCUGUAAAUAGGCCGGCGAAUAAGGGGAGGGCAAGCCUGGUGUCAGCCGCCGCGGUAAUACCAGCUCCUCGAGUGGUCGGGGCGAUUAUUGGGCCUAAAGCAUCCGUAGCCGGUCCCGUAGGUCCUCUGUUAAAUCCAACCGCUUAACGGUUGACCUGCAGAGGAUACCGCGGGACUAGGAGGCGGGAGAGGCGGACGGUACUCCGCGUGUAGGGGUAAAAUCCUUUGAUCCGCGGAAGACCACCAGUGGCGAAGGCGGUCCGCCAGAACGCGCUCGACGGUGAGGGAUGAAAGCUGGGGGAGCGAACCGGAUUAGAUACCCGGGUAGUCCCAG